This 602-nucleotide ribosomal RNA is filed under the name Pseudomonas sp. 4a6(2015). Its description in RNAcentral is "bacterial SSU rRNA". It matches the Rfam family "Bacterial small subunit ribosomal RNA", at positions 57 to 654 of the family's 1533-position model. The record is from RNAcentral. Lineage: Bacteria; Pseudomonadati; Pseudomonadota; Gammaproteobacteria; Pseudomonadales; Pseudomonadaceae.
GCAAGUCGAGCGGUAGAGAGGUGCUUGCACCUCUUGAGAGCGGCGGACGGGUGAGUAAUGCCUAGGAAUCUGCCUGGUAGUGGGGGAUAACGUUCGGAAACGGACGCUAAUACCGCAUACGUCCUACGGGAGAAAGCAGGGGACCUUCGGGCCUUGCGCUAUCAGAUGAGCCUAGGUCGGAUUAGCUAGUUGGUGGGGUAAUGGCUCACCAAGGCGACGAUCCGUAACUGGUCUGAGAGGAUGAUCAGUCACACUGGAACUGAGACACGGUCCAGACUCCUACGGGAGGCAGCAGUGGGGAAUAUUGGACAAUGGGCGAAAGCCUGAUCCAGCCAUGCCGCGUGUGUGAAGAAGGUCUUCGGAUUGUAAAGCACUUUAAGUUGGGAGGAAGGGCAGUUACCUAAUACGUGAUUGUCUUGACGUUACCGACAGAAUAAGCACCGGCUAACUCUGUGCCAGCAGCCGCGGUAAUACAGAGGGUGCAAGCGUUAAUCGGAAUUACUGGGCGUAAAGCGCGCGUAGGUGGUUUGUUAAGUUGGAUGUGAAAUCCCCGGGCUCAACCUGGGAACUGCAUUCAAAACUGUCAAGCUAGAGUAUGGUAG